RNAcentral lists this ribosomal RNA (464 nucleotides) under uncultured bacterium. Its description in RNAcentral is "partial 16S ribosomal RNA". It matches the Rfam family "Bacterial small subunit ribosomal RNA", at positions 28 to 507 of the family's 1533-position model. The record is from RNAcentral.
GACGAACGCUGGCGGCGUGCUUAACACAUGCAAGUCGAACGGAAAGGCCCAGCUUGCUGGGUGCUCGAGUGGCGAACGGGUGAGUAACACGUGGGUGAUCUGCCUCUAACUUCGGGAUAAGCUUGGGAAACUGGGUCUAAUACCGGAUAGGACAAUCGUUUAGUGUCGGUUGUGGAAAGUUUUUUCGGUUAGGGAUGAGCCCGCGGCCUAUCAGCUUGUUGGUGGGGGAAUGGCCUACCAAGGCGUCGACGGGUAGCCGGCCUGAGAGGGUGGACGGCCACAUUGGGCCUGCGAUACGGCCCAGACUCCUACGGUAGGCAGCAGUGGGGAAUAUUGCACAAUGGGCGCAAGCCUGAUGCAGCGACGCCGCGUGGGUGAUGACGGCCUUCGGGUUGUAAACCUCUUUCGACAGGGACGAAGCUUUGGUGACGGUACCUGUAUAAGAAGCACCGGCUAACUACGUG